This 252-nucleotide ribosomal RNA is filed under the name uncultured bacterium. RNAcentral describes it as "partial 16S ribosomal RNA". It matches the Rfam family "Bacterial small subunit ribosomal RNA", at positions 524 to 776 of the family's 1533-position model. The record is from RNAcentral.
UACGUAGGGGGCAAGCGUUGUCCGGAUUUAUUGGGCGUAAAGAGCGUGUAGGCGGCCUGAAAGGUCAGCUGUGAAACUCGAGGCUCAACCUCGAGACGUCGGUUGAAACCAUCUGGCUAGAGUCCGGAAGAGGAGUGUGGAAUUCCCGGUGUAGCGGUGAAAUGCGCAGAUAUCGGGAAGAACACCCGUGGCGAAGGCGGCACUCUGGGACGGUACUGACGCUGAGACGCGAAAGCGUGGGGAGCGAACAGG